AUUGAGCGCUGGCGGCAUGCCUUACACAUGCAAGCCGAACGGUAACAGGUCUUCGGAUGCUGACGAGUGGCGAACGGGUGAUUAAUACAUCGGAACGUGCCUAGUAGUGGGGGAUAACUACUCGAAAGAGUGGCUAAUACCGCAUGAGAUCUACGGAUGAAAGCAGGGGAUCGCAAGACCUUGUGCUACUAGAGCGGCCGAUGGCAGAUUAGGUAGUUGGUGGGAUAAAAGCGUACCAAGCCGACGAUCGGUAGCUGGUCUGAGAGGACGAGCAGCCACACUGGGACUGAGACACGGCCCAGACUCCUACGGGAGGCAGCAGUGGGAAAUUUUGGACAAUGGGCGAAAGCCUGAUCCAGCAAUGCCGCGUGCAGGAUGAAGGCCUUCGGGUUGUAAACUGCUUUUGUACGGAACGAAAAGCCCCGGGUUAAUACCCUGGGGUCAUGACGGUACCGUAAGAAUAAGCACCGGCUAACUACGUGCCAGCCGCCGCCGUAA
This 498-nucleotide ribosomal RNA is filed under the name uncultured bacterium. Its description in RNAcentral is "partial 16S ribosomal RNA". It matches the Rfam family "Bacterial small subunit ribosomal RNA", at positions 30 to 523 of the family's 1533-position model. The record is from RNAcentral.